GACGAACGCUGGCGGCGUGCUUAACACAUGCCAGUCGAACGGAAAGGCCCUGCUUUUGUGGGGUGCUCGAGUGGCGAACGGGUGAGUAACACGUGAGUAACCUGGCCUUGACUUUGGGAUAACUUCAGGAAACUGGGGCUAAUACCGGAUAGGAGCUCCUGCUGCAUGGUGGGGGUUGGAAAGUUUCGGCGGUUGGGGAUGGACUCGCGGCUUAUCAGCUUGUUGGUGGGGUAGUGGCUUACCAAGGCUUUGACGGGUAGCCGGCCUGAGAGGGUGACCGGCCACAUUGGGACUGAGAUACGGCCCAGACUCCUACGGGAGGCAGCAGUGGGGAAUAUUGCACAAUGGGCGGAAGCCUGAUGCAGCAACGCCGCGUGCGGGAUGACGGCCUUCGGGUUGUAAACCGCUUUCGCCUGUGACGAAGCGUGAGUGACGGUAAUGGGUAAAGAAGCACCGGCUAACUACGUG
This 468-nucleotide ribosomal RNA is filed under the name uncultured bacterium. Its description in RNAcentral is "partial 16S ribosomal RNA". It matches the Rfam family "Bacterial small subunit ribosomal RNA", at positions 28 to 507 of the family's 1533-position model. The record is from RNAcentral.